RNAcentral lists this ribosomal RNA (448 nucleotides) under uncultured bacterium. RNAcentral's name for it is "partial 16S ribosomal RNA". It matches the Rfam family "Bacterial small subunit ribosomal RNA", at positions 29 to 523 of the family's 1533-position model. The record is from RNAcentral.
AACGAACGCUGGCGGCAUGCCUAACACAUGCAAGUCGAACGAACCCUCCGGGGUUAGUGGCGCACGGGUGCGUAACGCGUGGGAAUCUGCCCUUGGCUUCGGAAUAACAGUUAGAAAUGACUGCUAAUACCGGAUGAUGUCUUCGGACCAAGGAUUUAUCGGCCAGGGAUGAGCCCGCGUAGGAUAGGUAGUUGGUGGGGUAAAGGCCUACCAAGCCGACGAUCCUUAGCUGGUCUGAGAGGAUGAUCAGCCACACUGGGACUGAGAAACGGCCCAGACUCCUACGAGAGGCAGCAGUGGGGAAUAUUGGACAAUGGGCGCAAGCCUGAUCCAGCAAUGCCGCGUGAGUGAUGAAGGCCUUAGGGUCGUAAAGCUCUUUUACCCGGGAUGAUAAUGACAGUACCGGGAGAAUAAGCUCCGGCUAACUCCGUGCCAGCAGCCGCCGUAA